UUAAAAUUGAGAAUGGAAAUGGGGAAUGUGUCAAAGAGACAACAACCCGACCAAAAUAAAAAAAAACACAACAGCAGAAGGUCACCAACAGGUCUUCAAUGUAGCGAGAAAUUCCCGCACCCGGAGGCGUCCUUCAGCUGGCCCCUAAACAAAUAUAUACUAGUUCAGUGAUAAUGAACGCCAUACUAAUUUCCAAAUUGUACACAAGAAACUAAAAUUUAAAUAAUACAAGA
This 233-nucleotide long non-coding RNA is filed under the name Mytilus galloprovincialis (Mediterranean mussel). Lineage: Eukaryota; Metazoa; Mollusca; Bivalvia; Mytilida; Mytilidae. The record is from RNAcentral.